This 2710-nucleotide ribosomal RNA is filed under the name seawater metagenome. RNAcentral's name for it is "bacterial LSU rRNA". It matches the Rfam family "Bacterial large subunit ribosomal RNA". The record is from RNAcentral.
GCAAGGGCGUAUGGGGAAUGCCUAGGCUCUCAGAGACGAUGAAGGACGCGACAAGCUGCGAAAAGCUACGGGGAGAGGCACAUACUUUUUGAUCCGUAGAUAUCCGAAUGGGGCAACCCAGCAUACUGAAGGUAUGUUAUCCGUAAGGAAGUUAACCCGCUGAACUGAAACAUCUAAGUAGGCGGAGGAAGAGAAAACAAGAGUGAUUCUGCGAGUAGCGGCGAGCGAAAGUGGAACAGCCCAAACCGGAAGUGUUACGGCACUUUCGGGGUUGUAGGACCACGACAUCUGAUGCAUAACGAACCAGAACCAGCCGGAGAGCUGGACCAUAGAGGGUGAUAGUCCCGUAUGGGUAAGAAAUGUUAUUGGUAGUGGUAUCCUGAGUAGGGCGGGGCACGUGAAACCCUGUCUGAAUCAAGCGGGACCAUCCGCUAAGGCUAAAUACUCCUGAGAGACCGAUAGUGAACAAGUACCGUGAGGGAAAGGUGAAAAAGAACUUUUUUAGAGUGUAAAAGAAUCUAAAAUAUAACGCCUCCAAUCAAUUGGCGCUUUCCGAAAGGUAAAAGUUACAGUGUACCUUUUGCAUAAUGGGCCAGUGAUUUUUUAUUUACGGCAAGUUUAAUUAAAAUUAGUAUGCGCAAAAAAAUUGAUUUCGAAUCAAGAAAUAUAUAAAGUCGUAAAUAAAAGACCCGAAGCUGAGUGAUCUAACCAUGAACAGGUUGAAAAAAUUGUGGAAACACGUUUUGGAGGACCGAACCCGUGUCUGUAGAAAAAUACUGGGAUGAUUUGUGGUUAGGAGUGAAAGGCUAAUCAAACUCAGGUAUAGCUGGUUUUCUGCGAAAUAUAUUUUAGUAUAGCCUGCAAAUUGUAGCUAGAGUAGGGUAGAGCACUUUUGAAGCAAGGGGGAUCUCGGAUCUUACUAAGUUUUGAAAAACUUCGAAUAUGCUCUAGUAUUUUGUGGAGUCAGACAAUAGGUGCGAAGGUCUAUUGUCAAGAGGGAAACAGCCCAGACUAUUUGAUAAGGUCUUCAAUUGUAGGUUAAGUGAUAAGAAUGUUUAAAGAUUUUGACAAUUAUAAAGUAGGCUUGGAAGCAGCCAUCUUUUUGAGAAAGCGUAACAGCUCAUUAAUCUAGUCUUUUUGCUUCGAAAAUGUAUAGAGGCUAAACCUACAACCGAAUCAGUAGAUAAUUUGGUAGCAGAACAUUCGGUAAGUCGUUAAAGAUACUUUGUAAAAAGUAUUGAAGAUAUCCGAAGAGAGUAUACUGGCAUUAGUAGCAUGAAACAGUGUUUAAUCACUGUCGCCGUAAAUCUAAGGUUUUCGUUACUACAUUUAAUGAUGACGAAAAAAGUUUAACCGGUCCCUAAGACAAAUUACAAAAGUAUAAGUUGAUGGGAUUUUUUAAUGUGACAAAAUGAAAAAAAUAUUAGUAAUUUAACGAUUUAUUACGGUAUUCUAUUGUUUUCUGGAAACAGCAUUAAAAUAAACGACCGUACCUUAAACCGACACAGGUAGAUGGGUAGAAUAUACUAAGGCGUUCAAGAUAAGUAUGUUGAAGGAACUCGGCAAAUUUGCUCUGUAACUUCGGAAGAAGGAGUGACGUAUUAAGGGAAACCUAUAUGCGUUGGCACUAAAGAGGGAGUAACAACUGUUUAACAAAAACACAGGUCUUUGCUAAUUUGAGAAAAGAUGUAUAAAGACUGACACCUGCCCGGUGCUGUAAGGUUACGUAGAGAUGCUAAGGCAUCAAAAUCAAGCUCCAGUAAACGGCGGCUGUAACUCUGACGGUCCAAAGGUAGCGAAAUUCCUUGUCGGGUAAGUUCCGACCUGCAUGAAUGGUGUAAUGAUUUCUCCACUGUCUCCAACAUAUCCUUGGUGAAUUUGAAAUGCCCGUGAAGAUGCGGGCUCUUUGCAGUUAGACGGGAAGACCCCGUGCACCUUUACUAUGAUCUAAAGUUGUAAAGUUGAAAGUUUUGUGUAGUAUAGAUGGGAGCGUAAGCGUCAGUGAAAUACCAUCCUUCCUUUUCGAUUUUACUUAAUUUUUUUUAAAAAAAGACAGCUUGUGAGAGGUAGUUUGACUGGGGCGGUCUCCUCCCAAAGAGUAACGGAGGUGUACAUAAGGCAAAUUCAAAUAAAUAUUUAUUAAAGAGCGUAAUGGCUUAUAUUUGCUUGACUGUAAGAUAUACAUAUCGAACAGGGAUGAAUUAAUUUUUGUCGGUCAUAGUGAUCCGGUGAUUUUGAGUGGAAAAAUCAUCGCUCAACGAAUAAAAGGUACGCCGGGGAUAACAGGCUUAUGGUUUCUGAGAGCUCACAUCGACGAGACCGUUUGGCACCUCGAUGUCUGCUUAUCACAUCCUGGAGCUGAAGUAGGUUCCAAGGGUUCGGCUGUUCGCCGACUAAAGUGGUACAUGAGCUGGGUUCAGAACGUCGUGAGACAGUUUGGUCCCUAUCUGCUGUAAAUGUUAAAAAUUGAAAAGCGUAAAUUCUAGUACGAGAGGAUCGAAUUUAGUAAACCAAUGGUGAAUCGAUUGUUUUAUCAAAAGCAUUGUCGAGUAGCUAAGUUUAUAAAAGAUAAUCACUGAAUGCAUCUAAGUGAGAAACUUACUUUAAAAACAGUUUUUUAAUAUUGUAGAAGACUACUACAUAAUAGAAUGAUCGUAUACGAAUUGUAAGGUUCUUAGCGUAUUAUCUCUAAUAAAAUUAUUUAAUUUAA